UGAGCAGUAAAAGAAGCCGCCGCUGUUCAAUUGGCGGUCCACUAAAAGAUGCCGUCGUUGCCCACCUUCUCAGAAGGUGCUCUGUAGCGUCUUCUUCUCUAUUGGAUUGCCUUGACAAGUGCGGUGUUGCUUCACUGCAAUGAAGACUGCCUGCAUCCUGAGUCCUCUAAUAUUCUUCUAACAUUGUCAGAAGGGACUAUGAUGGAACAGCGGGCUCACCCCUCCACCAUCACUCUUAUUUGCUGCUAUUCAAGUGUUUCAUAAUCUGCUUCGAUGUAUUUUCUUCUUCUUCUAGAGAAUGGGUUUUCAUUUAUUGUAUUUUAUUUUUGCUAUUGAACUGUUUGAUGAUUUGCUUCAAUAGAUUCCUUUUUCGCUUAGUUUUCUAGCUAAUUAGAAAUGUUAAUCACAGCUAUUGGGAGUUUGGUUUUUUUUUUUUUAAUUGAAUUUUCAUUAUUUUACUUGCCAUGGCAUUGGAAGAAGCUUGCACUUUUGGUGGGACUUGAAGAAGUUUACUCAUAUGAGAAAGAUGCUGAUUUUGAUGCAACAGAGGGGAACAGGAGAAGUGGUUGGAUUUCACUGCAAGAGGGCAGUAACUAAGGUGUUGCCCUUGUAAGAAGCUUGCACUAGAGAAGUGGGUUGGAACUUUAGGAACCCAAAUCUGGUCUUAUUAAAAAGGUGUUGGCAUUGUAAAACGCUUGCACUAGUGAAUUUGUGGGAACUAUGUAACAAGGCUGAGUCUGUUCUUCAUGGAAAGGUAAAAUGUCCUUUUCUUUAGUCUGAUUAGUAUUUGCUACAUAUGAAUCCUAUAAAUGACUUGUCUGCUAUGCUUAACUGUUAUAAAGUUGUAUGAGCUAUGAGGUAGCUUCAUUUGCCGCAAAAUGCAACAAUGCAACAUUACUGUAAACAACAACUACAUAGAGUUUGUGUGAAUUGUUUGACUUGUCUGUUCUUUAAAACCAAUAUAAACUUGUACGAGGUAGCUUCACUUGCCGCGCGCAGAAUGAAACAAUGCAACAUUACCGAAAAGAACACAACUAAUUAGAGUUUGUGUGAAUAGUUUGUCAGUUCUUUGAAUCAAUAGUUGUAGG
Papaver somniferum (opium poppy) is the source of this 1088-nucleotide long non-coding RNA. RefSeq lists it as uncharacterized. The record is from RefSeq and is a predicted model, not a curated record. The transcript has 4 exons. NCBI's taxonomy places the organism in Eukaryota, Viridiplantae, Streptophyta, Magnoliopsida, Ranunculales, Papaveraceae.